GACAGAGGGGGCAAGCGUUGCUCGGAAUUACUGGGCGUAAAGGGCGCGUAGGCGGUCGUGACAAGUCACUUGUGAAAUCUCCGGGCUUAACUCGGAAAGGUCAAGUGAUACUGUCGGACUAGAGUACAGAAGGGGCAACUGGAAUUCUCGGUGUAGCGGUGAAAUGCGUAGAUAUCGAGAGGAACACCUGCGGCGAAGGCGGGUUGCUGGGCUGAUACUGACGCUGAGGCGCGAAAGCUAGGGGAGCGAACGGG
This 254-nucleotide ribosomal RNA is filed under the name uncultured bacterium. RNAcentral's name for it is "partial 16S ribosomal RNA". It matches the Rfam family "Bacterial small subunit ribosomal RNA", at positions 524 to 776 of the family's 1533-position model. The record is from RNAcentral.